AGAGUUUGAUCAUGGCUCAGAAUGAACGUUGGCGGCGUGGAUUAGGCAUGCAAGUCGUGCGAGAAGUCUUUUGCUUGCAUUAGACGGAAAGCGGCGAAAGGGAGAGUAACGCGUGGGUACCUACCUCUAGGUUCGGGAUAGCUGCGGGAAACUGUGGGUAAUACCGAAUAACAUCUCCGGAUCAAAGGUGUGAUUCCGCCUGGAGACGGGCCCGCGUCCUAUUAGCUUGUUGGUGGGGUAAUGGCUUACCAAGGCAAUGAUGGGUAUCGGGCGUGAGAGCGUGACCCGACUCACUGGGACUGAGACACUGCCCAGACACCUACGGGUGGCUGCAGUCGAGAAUCUUCGGCAAUGGGCGCAAGCCUGACCGAGCGACGCCGCGUGCGGGAUGAAGGCCCUCGGGUUGUAAACCGCUGUCAGUUGGGAGGAAAUCACAUGGGGUUCUCUCCAUGUGUUGACCUAUCUUCAGAGGAAGGACGGGCUAAGUUCGUGCCAGCAGCCGCGGUAAGACGAACCGUCCAAACGUUAUUCGGAAUUACUGGGCUUAAAGGGUGCGUAGGCGGCUUCGCAAGUUGGGUGUGAAAUCCCUCGGCUCAACCGAGGAAUGGCGCCCAAAACUGCGGAGCUCGAGGGAGACAGAGGUGAGUGGAACUUGUGGUGGAGCGGUGAAAUGCGUUGAUAUCACAAGGAACACCGGUGGCGAAAGCGGCUCACUGGGUCUUUUCUGACGCUGAGGCACGAAAGCUGGGGGAGCGAACGGGAUUAGAUACCCCGGUAGUCCCAGCUGUAAACGAUGAGCACUAGAUCGAAGGGUCCUCCAUAGCCCUUUCGGUCGUAGCGAAAGUGUUAAGUGCUCCGCCUGGGGAGUAUGGUCGCAAGGCUGAAACUCAAAUGAAUUUGACGG
This 904-nucleotide ribosomal RNA is filed under the name uncultured bacterium. RNAcentral describes it as "bacterial SSU rRNA". It matches the Rfam family "Bacterial small subunit ribosomal RNA", at positions 8 to 916 of the family's 1533-position model. The record is from RNAcentral.